CCUACGGGUGGCAGCAGUGAGGAAUAUUGGUCAAUGGGCGGAAGCCUGAACCAGCCAAGUCGCGUGAGGGAUUAAGGCCCUGCGGGUCGUAAACCUCUUUUGCCGGGGAGCAGUGGUCCGGACGCGUCCGGACCGGGAGAGUACCCGGAGAAAAAGCAUCGGCUAACUCCGUGCCAGCAGCCGCGGUAAUACGGAGGAUGCGAGCGUUAUCCGGAUUUAUUGGGUUUAAAGGGAGCGUAGAUGGGUUGUUAAGUCAGUUGUGAAAGUUUGCGGCUCAACCGUCAAAUUGCAAUUGGUAGUGGAAGCCUUGAGUACAGUUGAGGUAGGCGGAAUUCGUGGUGUAGCGGUGAAAUGCGUAGAUAUCACGAAGAACUCCGAUUGCGAAGGCAGCCUACUAAACUGCCACUGACAUUGAUGCUCGAAAGUGUGGGUAUCAAACAGGAUUAGAUACCCUAGUAGUC
RNAcentral lists this ribosomal RNA (461 nucleotides) under uncultured bacterium. Its description in RNAcentral is "partial 16S ribosomal RNA". It matches the Rfam family "Bacterial small subunit ribosomal RNA", at positions 338 to 795 of the family's 1533-position model. The record is from RNAcentral.